UGGGGAAUCUUGCGCAAUGGGCGAAAGCCUGACGCAGCCAUGCCGCGUGAAUGAUGAAGGUCUUAGGAUUGUAAAGUUCUUUUGCCCGUGACGAUGAUGACGGUAACGGGAGAAUAAGCCCCGGCUAACUUCGUGCCAGCAGCCGCGGUAAUACGAAGGGGGCUAGCGUUGUUCGGAAUUACUGGGCGUAAAGCGCGCGUAGGCGGUUUUGCAAGCCAGAGGUGAAAUGCCUGAGCUCAACUUAGGAAUUGCCUUUGGGACUGCGAGACUUUGAGGACGGUAGAGGUGAGUGGAAUUCCCAGUGUAGAGGUGAAAUUCGUAGAUAUUGGGAAGAACACCGGUGGCGAAGGCGGCUCACUGGCCCGGUUCUGACGCUGAUGCGCGAAAGCGUGGGGAGCAAACAGGAUUAGAUACCCCCGUAGUCCCUGAGCGGGCUGGCAAGGCGCAU
This 448-nucleotide ribosomal RNA is filed under the name uncultured bacterium. RNAcentral's name for it is "bacterial SSU rRNA". It matches the Rfam family "Bacterial small subunit ribosomal RNA", at positions 355 to 825 of the family's 1533-position model. The record is from RNAcentral.